AACACAUGCAAGUCGAACGAAUUACCUUCGGGUAUUAGUGGCGCACGGGUGCGUAACGCGUGGGAAUUUGCCCCUUGGUUCGGAAUAACAGUUGGAAACGACUGCUAAUACCGGAUGACGACGUAAGUCCAAAGAUUUAUCGCCGAGGGAUGAGCCCGCGUAGGAUUAGGUAGUUGGUGUGGUAAAGGCGCACCAAGCCGACGAUCCUUAGCUGGUCUGAGAGGAUGAUCAGCCACACUGGGACUGAGACACGGCCCAGACUCCUACGGGAGGCAGCAGUGGGGAAUAUUGGACAAUGGGCGAAAGCCUGAUCCAGCAAUGCCGCGUGAGUGAUGAAGGCCUUAGGGUUGUAAAGCUCUUUUACCCGGGAUGAUAAUGACAGUACCGGGAGAAUAAGCUCCGGC
This 404-nucleotide ribosomal RNA is filed under the name grassland soil clone sl3_617. Its description in RNAcentral is "bacterial SSU rRNA". It matches the Rfam family "Bacterial small subunit ribosomal RNA", at positions 50 to 497 of the family's 1533-position model. The record is from RNAcentral.